ACUAGCACUAGCCCUACACAAUCUAAACUCAACUAUCAACUCUAAUUAAAACAAAACAUUUACCAAGAUAUUAAGUAUAGGAGAUUAGAAUUUUAAAUAGACGCUAUAGAGGACAGUACCGCAAGGGAAAAAAUGAAAGACUCACCAAAAGUAACAAAAAGCAAAGAUUAAUACUUGUACCUUUUGCAUCAUGAUUUAACUAGACCAAGCUAGCAAAAAGAAUUUCAGUUAGCCACCCCGAAACCAGACGAGCUAUUUAUAAACAGCUUCACGAGCAAACUCAUCUAUGUGGCAAAAUAGUGAGAAGAUUAAUAAAUAGUGGUGAAAAGCCAACCGAGCCUGGUGAUAGCUGGUUGUCCAGAACAGAAUAUAAGUUCAAACCUAAAUUUACUAAACAAAUUACUAAAUUCAAAAGUAAAUUUAAGCAAUAGUCUAAAAGGGGACAGCUUUUUAGACAAAGGACACAACCUUGAUUUAGAGAGUAAGCCCAAGUAAACCCACCAUAGUUGGCCUAAAAGCAGCCAUCAAUUAAGAAAGCGUUCAAGCUCAACAAAUAAAUAAACCCUAAUCCCUUUAUAUAACCGGCAAACCCCUAAAACACAAAACUGGACUAUUUUAUUAAUAAAUAAAAGAAAUACUGUUAAUAUGAGUAACAAGAAUCCAUUCUCCUUGCACAAGCUUAUAUCAGAACGAAUACAUCACUGAUAGUUAACAACACAAAGGACAUAAACUUAUAAUUAACUGCCCUUAUAAACAAUUGUUAACCCAACACUGGAGUGCAAUACCUUAAAGGAAAGAUUAAAAAGAGUAAAAGGAACUCGGCAAACACUAACCCCGCCUGUUUACCAAAAACAUCACCUCUAGCAUGACCAGUAUUAGAGGCACUGCCUGCCCAGUGACUAAAGUUAAACGGCCGCGGUAUUCUGACCGUGCAAAGGUAGCAUAAUCAUUUGUUCUUUAAAUAAGGACUUGUAUGAAUGGCCACACGAGGGUUUAACUGUCUCUUACUCUUAAUCAGUGAAAUUGACCUUUCCGUGAAGAGGCGGAAAUAAUAAAGCAAGACGAGAAGACCCUAUGGAGCUUCAAUUAACUAACCUAAGGAUAUAUACACCCAUAAAGCCUACUAAGGCAACACUACAAAUUCUUAUAGGUUAGCAAUUUAGGUUGGGGUGACCUCGGAAUACAAAAAAACUCCCGAGUGAUUUAAUCCAGACUUACAAGUCAAAAUUACUAUCACUUAUUGAUCCAAUAUUAUUGAUCAACGGAACAAGUUACCCUAGGGAUAACAGCGCAAUCCUAUUCAAGAGUCCCUAUCGACAAUAGGGUUUACGACCUCGAUGUUGGAUCAGGACAUCCCAAUGGUGCAGCCGCUAUUAAUGGUUCGUUUGUUCAACGAAUAAAGUCCUACGUGAUCUGAGUUCAGACCGGAGCAAUCCAGGUCGGUUUCUAUCUGCUACACACUCCUCCCAGUACGAAAGGAUAAGAGAAGUAAGGCCUACUUUUCAAAAGCGCCUUAAGGGCAACAGAUGAUAUAAUCUUAAUCUGAUAACCUAUGAUAACACACUACCCAAGGAACAGGGUUU
Molecule: ribosomal RNA, 1583 nt
Filed under: Myzopoda aurita
Lineage: Eukaryota; Metazoa; Chordata; Mammalia; Chiroptera; Myzopodidae
Description: 16S ribosomal RNA
Rfam family: Bacterial large subunit ribosomal RNA
Source: RNAcentral